This is a non-coding RNA of Phyllostomus hastatus (greater spear-nosed bat), 578 nucleotides long. Lineage: Eukaryota; Metazoa; Chordata; Mammalia; Chiroptera; Phyllostomidae. The record is from the annotation of a RefSeq genome assembly.
CCUCCCUUUCUCAGAGUAUGAAGAAGGGAAGGGAGAGGUUUGGGGAAGCUCUGCUUCAGCUGUGGGGCCACAGAAGGCAGGACUCAGGGAUGGACUCCACCAUGGCCUGGUCCCCUCUCCUGCUCACCCUCCUGGCUCAGUGCACAGGGUCCUGGGCCCAGGCUGUGCUGACUCAGCCGCCCUCAGUGUCGGGGAACGCAGGACAGACCGUCACCCUCUCCUGCACUGGAAGCAGCACCAACAUUGGGGAUGGUUAUAGUGUGGGCUGGUACCAACAAGUCCCAGGAAAACCCCCUAUAACCGUGAUCUAUAGUACUAACAGUAGACCCUCGGGGAUCCCCGACCGCUUCUCUGGAUCCAGGUCUGGCAGUGUCGGCACCCUGACCAUCAGUGGGCUCCAGGCUGAGGACGAGGCCAGCUAUUACUGCUCAGCAUGGGACAAAAGUCUCACUGCUACCACAGUGCUACAGCACUGUGGGGAAGUGAGACAAAAACCUGCUGUCCCCUGCAGUGCAGUUCCCGGGUGCAGUCCCCACUCCUCUGAGAAGACAGCUGCUUUCUCGGUUUGCUUGGUCUGA